RNAcentral lists this long non-coding RNA (36706 nucleotides) under Malus domestica (apple). RNAcentral describes it as "long non-coding RNA (MDOM_LNC009140)". The record is from RNAcentral. Lineage: Eukaryota; Viridiplantae; Streptophyta; Magnoliopsida; Rosales; Rosaceae.
GUUGAAAUCGUUCCCGGGAAGAUCAUUCAAGAAGGCUUGGAGUGAAGGAGAUGGACGGUUCAGUUUUUGGAAGGUGGCAUGGAUGUUGUGUAUGAUAUCUGAUACCGCCAAAAGGGUGUUGGGUCCGGAAGAGCAUCCCAAGUCUGCUAUUUUCAAACAGUCAGAGAAGAGUUUGCUGCAAAGCUGCUCUAUGCUUGCCUUAACUAUGGGCUUCACCAUCGAAAUCACAGCUCUCUGAAAUAAAUUCAGACAGCUGAAUAUUAUUAAAAAGUUCUUAAUUUUAUGAAAACAAGUUCCCGUCAUAUUAAAAAAGAUCAUUAAAAUCGAAUAUGAUCAACAGAGACAAAAAAAGAAUUAGAGAAACAGAUGCUGACUAACUUGAAGUAGAGAGUUGGUUGCAUAGCUUGUUUUCCCAAUUCCUCCAUUCAUGUGAAGCACUUGCUCUACCUCCAUUUUAGUUUGUGUUCUCAAAUAAUGCUUCUCUACACUCUUAAUUCUGGUGCCUAUUCUGCUAUAAGAGCUGCAUAUUUAUAGCAAAAUACUUACCUCAUGCAGCUUACGUGUUAUUAGGUAUAUAGUAAUUUUUUGUGUACUUGGAACCCCGUCGCACGAUAUUAUUAGUACAGUAAAAUUAUCGUACGUGUAUUUGUUUUUUAUCAAUAUAUUCUAGAAGUAAAACAUAUCAAUUAUGUCGUCGCACAUAUUAUACAUAUAAUGGUUACACUAAAUGAUGAUGUUCCCGCUUUCUGUAAGUUUUAGUACAUCACAACCUAAAAGAAUAUGAUAUGUUAGUAGACAAAUAACUUAAUAUUUUCUGUGAGUUUAGUUAAGAGAAUUGCUAGGUAAACUAAAUUUGUAGACUAAUUUUCAAAUUAAAUGAUGUCUCACUAAUAAAAAAUAAGAGCGUUAAUUAACAUUAAAGUAAUAAUCCUAUCAUCAAUUUCCAUGUUAUUUACUUACAAAAUUUAGUCUACAAAUUUAGUCUCCCUAACAUUACCCUUUAGUUAAAGAGUAGGUGACUAGUUUACAUACGGCUCCAUGUGUCAUAAACGUGACAUCAUCUAUAAAUCACCCAGCUUCUCUGCCCGCCCACUUCCCAUACACUCUCAUCCCCUCUUAUUUUGUGCGGUCACGGUUAAGCCACGUCAACAUUUUAUAUUGAUUUUUUCAUAGAGAUAAUAAGACAAAAAAUAAUAGUAAUAUAAAAUGUUGACGUGGCUUAACCGUGACCGCACAAAUAGAAGGGGAUAAAAGUGUAUGGAAAGUGGGAGGGCUAAGAAGCCAGGUCCAUAAUUAAAUUAGUCUAACAAACACUUGUUUGGCGUCAUUAGAGUCUACAUCAAUCAAGCUUUGGUACAUUACAUGAUGUACAUUAAAAAAUGUCGUUUACUCUUGAAAGAAUCUAAAAUUGAUUCCGUGGUGUUGGUCUUGUCGCCUAUGAAUAUGAUUUACUAAGAGCUCAUUUGGAUAUACUCUUAAAAUAACUGAAAGUAUUUUUUGUUAAAAUAUUUUUGAAAUCAAUCCUUAGUAAAAAUGCAAGUAAAUCCUGGAAAAGCACUUAUAUGUUUUUUAACAACUUGAAAAUUAAAAAAAAAUUGUCAUAAUUUUCUUUUUUUUUGACAAUUAAACACCAUUAUACGUACAUUCAUCAUACAUUUCUGUAUUUUAAUUUUUUAAGUCCUUAUACCAUUCCAAUAAUUGAAAUAAUAGUUUACGGAUGAUAUUUUUAACUGUUACCAAUGAAGGUAAUAUAAUAUUUGCUAAGUAUUCUUGGGUUACGAAAACUGUUUAGAAGAUAGUAUUCUUGGAUUAUUUAACCCAUAAUGUAAAGUAUUAACAUAACAUAUAUCAUGAGCUACAUUAUAUUAUAAUUAGCUAUAUAAACCAUGCACUAUAGUCAAUAGCAUUGAUAUAAGUUUUGUCCGAUAGAGAACAUGGUUAGGAGAAUGAUUACACUUGUUGACCAUGAAUCAUGUCUUUUCGGCAACAAUCAAAAGAUGCAACAUUCAAAUUGAAGAGAUGUGAUUGUUGGGUUAAUAACACAACUUCCCAUCUCCUGCCAAACAGCCACAUAUAUAUAAUUUUAUUUUUAAAAUAUUCAACAUUACAUAUAUAAAAUCAAUGGGUAAAUGGUUACCCGUUUAUAACCGUAGUUAAUACCCAUAACCACCCAUUUAAAUUUCACAGGUAAAUAGUUAUACCCAUAACUGUAACCGUGAAGUUUAAAUGGACGGGUAAUCAUGGUUACCCAUAACCGCGGGUUUUGCCCAUCCCUACUUAUAUGAGAAUUGCAAACUAAGUUGAAGCAAAUUCUAAUCAAUUUGUGGUUAUCACUUGGCAUGAACAAAAAAAAUAUUUGAAGUCCUUUGCAUAACAUAGCAUAGAAAAUAACUUAACAUAUAUUUUAACCCUUUUAUCGUACAAUCUCUUGAUUAGAAGCUCGGUUUACUUGUGACGCAAGUUUACAAUCUAACAAUAAUAUUAAUCAAAAUUUAUGUUGGUCUUAGCCAACAGUGACAUGCCUGACAAUAAAUUAGGAAAAAAACAAUAACAUUCAAAAACUAUUGUAAAGGGGUAUUGAUCCUUAACUUAAUCCUUCCUUCCAUACCUACUCACCACUACGCCAACAAGGCCCAUUGUCUAUUUAAGUGCAAAGUAAAACUUAAAUCCCUAUACUUUCCUACUACUUUGCUAAUCAUAGGGAACUCUAACCUUGGUAAAUCAAAGUCAAUGCGACCACCAUGAGUAAUGUUAUUCAUACCAUAUUUUUAGAGUGCAUUUUUGCUCACCACCAUUUAGCAGUGUAUGCUCACCGCCUUUUUUAUCACCGUUAGAUGAGUUUGAAUUUUGAGAUUUGUGCCUAUCUACUACAUGAAUCUCAAAAUUCAAACUUAUCUAACUGUGGUAAAUAGGGUGGUGAGCAUACACCACAUUAAAUGGCGGUGAGCAAAAAUGCUCCCUAUAUUUUUAUACCACAUUUCUAUACCACCUUAGGUGGCAUUUGAUGUGGACAGCCACAUCAUUUGAAAAAUUUGCAAAACCCAAGGAAAGAAAGGAGAAAGACUCCUCGUAUACCACAAUCAUCAUUUAAUUAACUAGUUUUUCUUAAUUAUUAGUUUAUUAAAUAAUUAACUAAAUUAAAAAAUCUGAUUAAUUCAAAUGAUGUAGUUGUCCACAUCAAAUGCCACCUAAGGUGGUAUGAAAAUUUGAUACAAAAACAUGGUAUGAAUAGCAUUACUCGACCACUAUAUACUCAACCCUAAGUUCCAAAGCGAGAUGCAUACUUGCUAACAGUCUCGUAUUUUUCCUAGUUGUUCGACACUUUGAAUUUGAAACGUAGAGCAUAUUCAAAUUCCAUGCAGUCACAGGUAAUGAUAAGCAAUUUAGCUCUGCUUCUGUUGGAUAGCCCAUUCAUAAAUAGGCUCCAUUGCCCGAAUGUUGCUUCCGGGUAAUGGUCCUCGAGUCUAUCAUAAUGGCCUUACCUACGUGUGACGGAGUGAACUCAACUGUAAAGUCUACCAUUUCCUACUCAUUUUGAGCAUGCGUUGCUUUAAAUUGUAUAACAAAACCUCCUAGCUUAAUCGUUUAUUUAAUCACUCGUCUCGAGACCUUCGAUUGUUCAAUACUUGUCAUAAUGGGUAGCUGGUAAGAAUCACUAUUGAGUGUGCUUGGAAGUUUGCCCAGAGCUUUUAAGCAGACAUAAUGAGAGCGAGCACAAGCUUCUCUACCUUUGGAUGACAACCUUUGCUUCUAUCAGUGCUUGACUUACACAGUAUACUAGUUGUUGCACUUGCUCUUCCUCUCUUAUGAGCACUGAACUCAUGGCUGAUGGUGACACAUACAAAUAUAUGUACAGGGGUUUGCCUUGUAACGGUUUAGACACAAGAUGAUCGGCCUAUAUGAGCCUUCAAAUUAUCAAAAGCUUGCUGACAUUCAGAUAUCCGCUAUAUAAUCCGUACAACUCCUCUAAGUGCUUUAAAGAAAGGUAAGAAGCAAUCAGUUGAUCAUUAGACAAAAUGGUUAAGAGCAUCGACUCAACCGAUAAGCUAUGUAUCUCCUUUUUUGUGCGUGAAAGUGUUAGAUUUAUGAGCGCCAUGAUUUUUCUGGGUUAUCGUCAAUCCCUUUCUAACUUACCAUGAACCCUAAAAUUUUACUCGAGUUAACCGCGAAGGCAUACUUGGUGGAGUUCAUCUUCAUUUAGUAAGCAUAUAGAAUCUUUAAUACUUUGGCCAACUUGGCUAAGUGUUGGUUCUCUUCCCGCUCUUAACGAGCAUGGUCAUCAACAUAUACUUCUAGAAUCUUGCCAACGUGUUUGGCAAACAUUUGAUUUACCAACCAUUGGUAUGUAGCCCAUGUAUUCUUGAGCACAAGGGGCAUCACGUCCCAACAAUAGAGGCCUCCAUCGGUAAUGAAUGUCGUGUCAUUUUGGUCGGCCGAGUGCAUACAUAACUAGUUGUACCUUGAUUAUGCAUUGAGAAGGCUCAAAAGCUCUUGGUCGGCAGUUGCAUCUAUCGGGUGGUUGAUACGAGGUAAAGGGAAGCUCUCCUUAGGGCAUGCUCCAUUCAGGUCGGUAUAAUCUAUGCACAUGAGCCAUUUGAUAGGACGUUCAGCUGCCUCGAUCUUCUUUACCAUGAUCACGUUGGCUACCUGCCUUAGGUAAUCCACUUUCCUAAUGAAUCUUAUGUCUAGCAACUUGUCACUUCCACCUUCAUGGCUUCAUGGCGCUUGGUAUCAUCUCUUAUGUCAUACUGGUUUACAGUACGAGUCAAGACUAAGGCGGUGGGAUAUAACUCUUAAAUUAAUGCUAGUUAUGUUUACGUAGGACCAUGCAGAGACAUUUGUAUGCACUCUUAGAAAGCAGACCAUUUCUGGUUGUCCCAGUUUCACGUUGUAGGAUGAGAGGCAAUCUAAAACCAUGAAGUUGGUCGUGAGGUUGGCUUUUUUAGGGUAAAUGUGGGACUAUGAUUUUCCAGGGCCGGAGUAAGGUUGAUCCAAAUAAUGCUACCUUAGAAGUUCGUUCAUGGACUCACGAUUUUCGGACGAAACUGUAUCAAACGAAGUAGGAUGCCACUGAUGAGUUCAUAUUAUACUACAUAUUUUACCCUAAUCUUAGUAUUAAUUUAUUGGUUAUUUUUUGUGAUUUUGAUGCUUUGAAUUAUUUUUCCAAUGUAGGAUAUUUGAAUUCCUCUUGAGCGAAAAGUGAUCAAACGGAUGAAUUAUAGAGUGAUUCCAAUUGGAGGAUGUUCAUGAGUCUUUCAAGAUGAUUGUAGCAAAGUUUCAGAUUUUUCUACCAAGCCAUUUGACCAUGGCCAAGAAAAGAAGGCCCAACGCGUAGCUUUCCUAGAUUGACGUUUAUAGACGUUUAUAGACGUUUUGAUCAUUUUGGAGGUGAAGAUGGCAUAUUUUGAGGAAGAUUCAUUCUGAGGAUUUGUUAGGGACGACUUAAGCUUUAAAAAGAGACGUUUUAGGACAAAAUUGGAGUUGAUUUGGUCGGUCAAAGUUUGAUUUUAUGAGAAGUCUGAAUUUCAGUUUAAAUAGGAAACCUUUUAUUUUCUAGUUAUCUUAUUCUAUUAUGUUUCCUAGUUUUUAGAAUACCUUUUCUAUGAAGGAUUUUAUUUUCUAGUAGUAUAAAUAAGGCUAUUUAGCCAUAAGAGAAUGCACGCACUAAUUUGGAUAAUUUCAUACUUUUUACCUACAAGGUGUUUUCUAUCCAUGUUCUUAAUAAUAUUUUGUUUUAUGGUUGUUCGUAACUAAUUUCCGUUUACUUGGGCAAUGCCUUGAGCCUUAGCAUGAAUACGUAGUUUUUAUUUAAUCGCUUAUGAUAUUAUGCAUGCAUACUUUGAAUUAUUAAUCACUGUGUUUAAACUAUCUCUAUAUCUUAAUGCUUAGCUACCAUUAGGAUUAGAUAAGUAAUCAGAUGCAAUUCGGUCGGAAUGCCAUUGGAGGAUUGAGUAUUGCUUCUUGUGAUUGAUAGUUGUAAUUUCACUUAGGGCGAAUGCCAUGUCUUAAGGAUUGCAUGUAAGAAACUUAAUGUGAGUUUCAUAAAACAUUUGACAAGUGUAAUAUUAUAAGUUAAGUGAGUUAUAUAUAUUGAAUUUAGCCUAACUAAUGCACUAAUGCAGUUUCCAGAGUUAAGACUUGGAGGGAAACCUAAGGAGAUUCAAAUUGAUUUGCAUCAAACAGUUACAUUGAAGAUGUAACUGGUGGUAACUCCUUUCUUGAUGGGAGGAAGGAACUACUACAAGUAUAUAUAUAUAUAGCGAUAUGGUCCAUUCUCUCAGUGAAAAUAUAUUACCACUUCAGAUUUUGACAUGAACUCGUCCCAUUGAGAGUUUGGUAAUGCUAUUGAUUUCACAAGAGAGAAGAAGGUUGUAGUCGCAUGCAGGUUAGCGCCUCUGCCACUCAAGCGGUGGAUUCUAUUAGUGCUUUUCCAAAUUUAUUUAUCAAAACCUUUUCCUUUUGAUCUGAUUUCUUCUUAAUUGAUUACUAGUUGUUUUUCCUAGAUUACUUUUAUUAAAUUCAUUUUUAUUACAUUUAAAUUCAAAAACAACCCUUUGCAAUCUUUGUUUUCAAAUAAUUAACUAAGAUUUUGAUUUUGCAUAAAUUGUUUUAUAUAAUCCAUGUGGAAACAACCUUACCUAAGUCGUUUAUACUACAACUACCUUGUUCUCUUGCAAGUAUUUUUAAGUGUUUUUAUCCCUACUUUUGCAGGUGGUAAAAAUCCUAUCAGCCAUCAUGACUUUACUCUGAGGCACUCCAAGCGACAUUGUUGGGUGACCAUGCUUUUUCUGCAAGAUACGCAAUUUGAUCUAGUUAUGGACUCAAUCAAAUCAUAUAAGUCUUAGAGUCUCUACGAUUUAGGAAUAGGUAUGCGCUGCAAGUAAUCACACUCAUAAGAGGACGCAAUACCUACUUACUAGAUAUCCUCUCGGAUUCUCCUGGCUUAGAACAAGGAUUAUAUCCUAAAAAUGUCUCUUUCCCACAGUAUAAAUACACCCACCUAGGGUUCAUCUAUGGUAACACAAUCGAUACACUAGAAUUCUCUUGCCCACUGCUUGAGUCCAAAAUCAUUCAAUAACUUGACCGUCAGAUAGCCUUUAGCCGGAUCACCCCCCAAAGGUUUGCUUACAAUUAUUUACUAUUUUGCAAGUUGUUCCAGACUACAUGGAUUUGUGCUCAACCGCCAUUUACAAAGGUUGUUCUAGACUACAUAGAUUUAUGCUUAACCUUCGCUCAUGGAGGUGUGCAGAUUUGGUUCCAACAAAUGGUGCUUUCAUUGAGAAAGAACCCAUAUUCUUCUUGACCAGACCAUUCCCUAAUAAACAUUUCAACUAAAGAAAACUCAAUUAACUCCCUCGUCAACCUGUUUGGCGAAGAAGGCUUGCCCUUUGAUGCAUUAGCUAUCCUUGGGGUAAGAAGUUCGUUGCCUCCAACUACUACAGCAACGCCUGGAGCCAACGACAACGCCUGGAGCCAACGACAAUCCUUAAGGGAUGACAGCCACAUAUAAGGAAGAAAGAUAUCUAGUAAAAGGACAUCCCCCUUCUAUGGAUCAGAUUUGGGAAACUCUAACCAAAAUUAGCACUUCUGUCGAAAAUAUGUAGAAGAGCCAGACCAACGCUCAUGUUGAAGGCCAUUCCAACUUUGUGGACAUGGAAAAAUGAAUGAAAAACUUAGAGAACUUGAGUGGGACAACGUCUCAUACCCAAAUCCUCGUCUUUGGAUUUAGAAGCAGUGUUCUAAAAAUCGGCCUAGGUGGUGCCUAGACGCUGGGCGGUGGCUGGCCAUGGGGAUUAACUCAAAAUCGGGAGAAAAAUCGGGACAUGAAUUAGGCGGCCUCCGAAACAGCCUGGGCGGCCUAGGCGGGCGACUGAGUGGCCUACGGGGUCCAGGAAUUUCAGUUUUGUUCUUUUAUUUCAAGAAUGCAGAUCAGCUGCAAUCUUGUCUUUCUGGUUUUUGGUUCACGGUUUGGCAAAAGGAUGAAGACGAUGAAAGAUGACUUUCUUUCUCUCUCUCUCUCUCUCUUUGUUUCACACCACGUACACGGGACAUUCUUUUCUUAUUUAAUUUUUUUUCUUAGUUUCCCUCCAAUCAAAUUUUGACAGCAUGCAUCAAGUUGCUUGCUUUUUGUCAAAAGCCAUAGACUGUCAGUCUUGCAUAUUGAUUUUUCUUGUAAAAAAUGAUGGGGUGUGAGUCCCUACAUCCAAACACCUUUAUUUCUCUUUAAAUUAAACAUAAAAAAAUAUUUUUUUUAAAUUACUAUGAACCACCCACCCAUAUUCACAUCAGACCACCUAACUCACGUGGGAUUUUUACUUUUAAUUUUUUUUAAAAUUAGAUAUAAUCAUUCAAAAUGUAUUAAGUUAUAUGGCAUAUAUGCUUAAUGUGUUUUUAAAUUUUGGACUUAUUAGAUACUUUUUUUUGCAUUUUAUCCAUAGAUUUCAUACAAGUAUAAUUGUGUAUAAGUGUCAAUAUGUAUUAUUUAUAAGAUAUACAAAAAAUUUAUCUAAAUCCGCCUAGGCCGCCUAGACCCUGCCUAGCCGCCUAGGUGCUAGGCGCUAGCCCGCUGCCCGACUAGCGCCUAGCGUUUUUUAGAACCUUGUUUGGAAGCAUAAACACCAUAACCCCAUAAGGCGACCUUAUAACAUCUUCAAUCAUUCAGGCAUCAGCAAACACCGUAAGCCCCAAGAGAAGUCCUUUUGACAAUAAACGGAUCCCAGACGCACAUACAGGGGAAGGAACCCAGAAUCCGGAAAAACCUCCUUAAAGCACCUCGGGAGUACUGAGAGCAAAACCUCGCCGUUUAAGGUUCAAUGAACCCGAGGUUCUUGGGAAUUAAGAACAACGAUAUUCUCUAAACGAAGAUAACCAAGCAAAUCUCAUCUAUCUCCGCACACCGAGCAAGCUGAUGGUCUGAAUUAGGACACAUUUUUUAGGAACGAUCAAAAGAGUUCCUCCGCCAGAAAAAUUCUCUCCACCAAGGUUCAAGUCAAUUUGCGGUGACUCUGACCCCAACUACCAUAUCAUAUAUUAUAGAAACGACAUGGCGUUAUAUAGCAACAAUGACACCUGGAUGUGAAGAUGUUCUCGUUUACCUUGGAGGGCCUUACUAUAAGAUGGUAUUCAAAAUUACCGGCCAGGUCCAUAUACUGCUUUGAAACUUUGGCUGACUUAUUUACAAACACUUAUUAUGUAUACCGCGAUGUUCAGAAACGCCAUGAAACUAUGUUCAGGAUACUCCCUCAGACUAGAGAUGAAAGUCUUAGAGCCUAUUUGAAACGCUUCCGAGCAAAGUUGGUUAAGGUGGAAAAACCAGACGAUAAACUCGUAACUAUAGCAUUCAAGUGAGACAUCUAUGUCUAUUCACCUCUUUCCCAGAAUUUGUAUAGGAAAAAGUAGGACUAUGUUACUCUAGCAGAGUGCUUCAAUAAAGCAGGCGAUAUGACUGAUUGGGACGACAAGAGUCAAAUAACAACCAUUGAGUCGGACUACUCUAGAAAAAUCGACAUAAGAAUGAUGAACAAAGACACUCCCCGACCUUCUCCUCGAUAGGUCUUGAGAGGAAGGCGCUGAUACGAGAAAGUCCCACCAAAACCUAAACAAUAUACAACCCUGAAUACUGCUAGUAAUAACAUCUUCCACAACAUAAAGGAUAAACCCUUCUUUUGACGCCCAAAACUACUCUCAGAACAUCUGGCUAAGAAAAACCAGAGCAAAUAUUGCUCUUUCCACAAGAGUACUGGCCACGCCACUAGGUUGCUAAGCGUGAAUGGAUCAUAUCGAGGAACUUCUGGAUCAGAGGCACUGCUGGGAAUUCAUUAGGGAUAAGGAAAAGAAAGAAUAAUCAGUACCCAGGGAAAAAGAUCGGUCGAAUAAACACACUGAUGAUGAUGACUGACGGCCUGUAAAGAAACUAACCCUUAAUAUAAACUUCAACUGUGAAAGACGGAUGUAGGCAGCAGAAAGGGUCGUAAAAAUGAUUAAGGAUGAAAGUCUUAGAGCCUAUUUGAAGCGUUUCUGAGAAGAGUUCACUGAGGUGGAACAACCAGACGACAAACUCGUAAAUAUGGGCAUUCAAGCGAGGCCUCAAUGUCCACUCACCUAUCUCCCAGAAGUUGAACAAGAAGAAGUAGGACUACGCUACUCUAGCUGAGUGUUUCAAUAUCUCGGACGAUUUGAAUGAUUGGGACGACAAAAGUUGAAAGACAACCAUUGAGCCGGACAACUUUAGGAAAUCUGACAGAAUGAUGGACAGAGGCACUCCCCUACUUUCUUUGCGACAUGUCAUGAGAGAAGGACACCGAGACAAGCAAGUCCCAUCAAAACCUAAACAAUAUAUAGCCCUGAAUACCGCCAUUAAUAACAUUCUCUAUAGCAUAAAUGAUAAACCCUUCCUCUAACACCCAAAAUUACUCCCGAAACAUCUAGUUAAGAAAAUCCCAAAUGAAUAUUGAUCUUUCCAUAAGUACUGGCCACACCACCAGAGAUUGUUGAGCGUAUAGGGAUCAUAUCAAGGAACUGUUGGAUCAAGGGCACUACUGGGAAUUCUUUGGGGAUAAGGGAAAUAAAGAAUAUUUAGUCAAACCUAAGCAAAUAGAUCGGUCGGAUAAACAUACUGAUAAUGAAAACUAACGGCCUGCAAAGAAACUGACCCUUAACAUAAACUUCAUUCGUUAAAGAUGGAUAUAGGCAGUAGAAGGGGUUGUGAGAAAUCCAGUACCAAUCACUCCAAAAUGGAUGCCUCGUCGUCACGUCAAGAUUUAAUAAAAGUAAAAGGUAACACAAACUACACAUGGUUUGAUUUUCUUCCCAGAUAUCUCUGAACCCAAUCACAACGCCGCUAUUUGCACGAAGACAAGUACACGGAGAACUCAUCUCCUAAUGCCCCACCAUAGGCUUAUCGUCAAAAGUGAUCCCUGGUGUAAUUUUUAUGUCAUAUCAUUGUUUCCUUACAACUACACUAGUGAUUUGAUUCUCUAUCCUAGGGAUAUGUAGGCAAUUAUUCUCGAAGUCAAUCACACCCUUUUGUAAACCAACUUUAUUUGGAUCAUCAAUAAAGAGUGUAUGUUCGUCUUAAAUGUGUGUUUUUUCUUUAUUUUUUAGUGUUGCAGGGACCUUACUCAUUCAGAACAGGGCCCUAACUUUGAAAACUUCACAACAGUGCAAGUCUAAAAAUGUUUAAAGUUACACUGUCAGAUGAGCUUCAUUUAGCCCAAUCUGUCUGGAAUGGUUAACAGCUUGGGAAACUCGAACGGUAAUAAGUGCGACAACAAUUGGUAGACUAAUGGGAACAUGGGCCUUGACCAAGAAGUCGAAUGCACACUUCGACUUUUGGAAAGUUUAUGCAACCAACAAGGUUGUUGGUUAUAACAUUCAAACCAGGCUCUACGCCAUUUGAGGGAAUAGUCGAAGGGUGAUCUGGAACUCAUCCAAAUGUGGCUCUAAAAUCUGACCCUGAGUACAACUACUCUUAUCAAAGACCAAAUUACUAAGUUAAGUAAGCUUUGCAACACCAAGUGUUAGCAGGUUCUGAUGUGGCUUCUAGACUAAGUAAUCAACAAAAGGAAUUUAUUCCAACGGAGUUCCGAUACACAUAAAUUUUUUAGUCAAACCAAUCAAAGUAGUCCUAUAGGAAAUGCUCAAAUCUGACACUUAAGGUCUGACAAAAUGAUUCAAAAAAUGUUUAUGACCCACAGGCAGACGACCGCAUCUCAAACGAACUUUCGUCUAAAGAUUCACUAGAGAUAAACGGGCAACACGAGCUAAAAGGUACACACCUCUCGAGCAUCAUGUUGUAACAAGAUUCGAAGAACCCCCAAAAAGAGAAUAAGAAUGGAAAAAGCAUGGAAGGACAUUCCUGAUAAAAGAAAUAUCGUCCUCUCCAAUCUAGCGUGAAGAGCAGAAACAAAGCAAGGGGUUCUUCAUGGGUCUCAACACUUGGUAUCGGAGUAAGAUGGUACUUUGAAGAUUACGAUAGGUACCUUUACAAGCGCUGAGUUUGGGAGAUGAUGUUUAUCAACAUGUUUAAUGAGGGCAGUUAUACUUUAUCCUUAGCCUAUAAACUCACCCAUGCUUCGCCUUGCUUCUUAUUAUUCCAAAGUUAGCUUACGCUGGAAAGUUAGCUAAAUUAGGGACAUGCCUAGAAAAAUAUGAGGAACAAGAAAGGAAUACCUUCAGACAAAGUUAAAAAGAUUCAAAACCCAGACAGGGGAAAGUGUUCAAUGAGUGGGACAUGCUCCCAUUCUAGCCUGGCAAAACAUAAAGAAAAAUAACUACUCCACAACAUCGGAGUCCCUUACGUCCUUAAGAUUAACUGAAGAGUAACCAAGAAGGGGAGUAUCAAUAGCAACAAGACCUUUCUUCUUUGUCUGUUUCUCAAACUCUAAAGAAUAUUCACUCUGCUCCGAUAAGGUGAGCAUCGAUGCAUCGACCGCAAGUGAGAAAGGAACAGGGAAAUCAAUAACCUGUAUUUCAUUCAGCAAACGAGUAGCCUCCCACUGAUUACGAUGGUCCUGACUAGUAUAGCCAUCAAGAUAACCCUGAUUGUACUCAAGGAUAAUGUCCUCUUAGUAUUGUUGUCGUGGCUCUGCGACCUCCACUUUAUUCUGCUAAGAAGAUUCUAUUUGGAUUUUCUCUAUACGGCACACUUCAUCUUGAGAUGCAUAGACCUUUUUGCAUCGCACAAACUCUACUUCAAUGCCAACGCCCUCUCUGCUUCUUCCAAACGCGUACUCAAGGCCUCCAUUUCAACAUUCCAAGCUUAUUAUGUGACUAGUAACAUCUUGAUCCUAGUACUUCUCUCUUGCAAGUCUUACACAGCCUUGAUCUUGCAUCCUAACUCACUCUUAGAAGCGGGCUCAAGUUGGGAGUUCUCAUUUGCUUAGGCCCAGAUAUGAGCUUCAGUCUAGGCGUUUUCCUGGAAGAGAUAAACUAAGGUAGGAAUAAGAAAAACGGAGCACAUAAAUAACAAAGGACAUGAAAGAUUGAGGAGACUAACCGUGUAUUUUCUUUGAUAACACAUCUCCCUAAGAUCCUUCGCAGUUUGGAUUUCCCUGGAAUCGACAUAAGCGAUAACUGAGAAAAUCAAAGCCUGAACAUAUCCCGCAUCUUGAAGACCACUUGAAUAUAGGGAAAGCAGCUCCGAACUGGCAACGGGCUUGAUCACAAAGUGAGGCACCUUAAUAGAUAUUCUUUUACUAAUAUCAAGUAAAAUGGAUGAUGUGUCAGGUGCCAGGGUAUUCGGUCCACCUUGGAGUUUGAUUAUCAAUAACGACAGUUAUAGAAUCAGGAGUUGAGAAUGCGAAUGGUUGUGAUUGCUUUUUCAACAGCCAUCGUGCUGGCUUUGGCAUCUUCAGAAUGACGGAUUUACCUUUUCCUUCACCUAGGUUCACAGAAAUUUGCUGCAAAUUGUCUUAAAUCACGGAGGCAAGGCUCAUAGUCUCUAAAACCUUAUCUAAAUAGAUCAUAAGGCCAUUUGCUGACUUGGUUUUUCUCUUAGAUGCUUUGCCCGGAGCCGCAUUCGAAGGUGAAUCUUCAGUUCCCCUUUUCCUUUUCUUUUUCUCUACUUCAAGGGCAUCUUUAGAAGGCUUUGAAGACUUUAGUGAGUCUUCGGACUUGACCCACGCAAGGUUAGGAAUAGGAACUUAGAACAGAGCUCAAUGAGGCCCUGAUGCGAAAAUAAACUUAAUACACAAAUGAAACCCUCUUUUGACAAUUGUAGUAUAUGUAUAAGUAGGGAUUGUUCUGGACCGGGGAUUAGGAGGGAUUGCUAAUCUAAUUGAAACUGACUUAAAAACACAAAAAUAAACUUAAAAACACUUAACAAGACUCAAGACUCAAAACAAACUUAAAAGACUCAAAACAGCACAAAACAACCAAAUAGACUCAAAAUUGACUCUAGGGAGUUAUUUGGACGAAAAUUGGUUUUAACUUGAGUCAAGACACUUAAAAACACAAACCAAAACAGAUUUUAACUAAUCUAACACUUCAAAGUAAAGGGGGAUUGGGUUUUGGAUGAAAAUAAAGUAAAACAAACAAAUUAAAGACUAAAACAGAUUUUGGACAAAAUUGGGAAAUUGGAUGGGUGAUGGUCUAGCUAGAAGGUCCUUCUCCACACAUGACACACUUGCAUACAAAUCAAUCUCCAAUUGCUUUUCAAUAAACCAUGAACCUCAACGCCCCAGAUUAACCGUGAAUUGCACUAAUUAACCCUAAGAUUUUCCUAAUUUCAUUGAAUUGGAUGAUUGCAUACAACAAUCCAAAGCAUUCCCCACAAGUUCCCUACAUGAAUUUCAUAAUAGAGAUACAAGCAAAGAUCAUUAAGUUCUAUGAAAAUCAUAAGCAUUGACGAGGCACUUGUAACUAUGAAUUGCAUGAACCUUAUGCCAAGAAUUUACUUAACGCGAUUGUGACUAGCAACCUUCACUACUUGUGAAUAUAAGUUCAUAACGAUUAGGUGAAAAUCCCUUAUAUUCUAGCAUCAAAUUCAUGCAUGCAAACUAAGUGUCGACCCUCAAUCAACAUACAAGAAUAAGCUUUAAAUAAAUAGUUAAGCAAAUUGCAUUCACAAUAUAUCAAAUCGCAAUUGAAAGUAAUCAAUUCAUAUUGCAAGUAUAAUCAUGGUUUCGAACUCCCCUCUAACUAUAAAGAAAUUAGUUCCUCAUGUUCGCAAUUAAACAAAGAUAACUUGAAUUAAACAUUGAAAACAAAGAUAGAAUACACCUAGAAACACUCCAGAUGGCUCAUUCUUCUCCUUCCUUAGCUGCGGCACAAGAGGAUUGUGGUGGAUGGUGUGGUGGAUGGAUGUAGGUGAUUUAUGGUAGAGGGUGGUGGUUUAAUUGCUGCACAAAGGUUUGUAUUUAUAGGGCUAGGGAAAUCCACGAAUUUCUGAAGGAAAGGAAUGUGUAUUUGGCACAAUUCAUGAAGGAAAGGGACUAGGGUUUACCAAAAUCUGAAGGGAAAAGGAUUGCAUAAUCCUAAGGGAAAAGGAUUGUAGGUUCUAGGGCUUCUAGAAAGGGUCUAGGCGCUAGAUUUUUAGGUGCUUCUAGAAAAUAUGUUUUAGCACCAAUUUAGGGGUUCUAGAAGGAUAAAGGUUGUAGAAUCUGAAAUAUAUAGUUUAAAUGCAUACUUAUCCCUUAGAAAUAGCUGGAAUUAAGGCACAAAUUGAUUUGGAUAAGAUAGGACAAGAUAAGGUUAGGUUAGGCAAGGAUAAGAUAAGAUAAGGUUGGAUAAGGUUUUGGAUAAUGUUCCUUCUUUUGAGCUGAUUUCUUAUCUUCCUUGACAUGGAUUUAUUUCUUCACUCUUUUCAGCACAUUCCUAGCCUCUUGAACUUCAAAUUCAUCCAUCCAUCUUGCUCCAUUCAUAAGCUAUCCAUUUGGUGCCCAAAACUACCUCAAAAUGCUCCAAAUUGCACUUUCUUGCCAACUUUGUCAUAUGGACCUACAAACACACGAAAAUAGCUUAAAACACUAUAAUAAACACAAACAAACUAUGAAAAUGCAAGAAAACAUCUAACUAAGUCGCAUAAAUAUGCUUCUAUCAGGCCCUCCCUCUUAUAUGCAGUUUCUUUAUCUGGCACGCUAAGCCACUUCCAACUCCGGUAUGGAGAGAGGAUAAGUUUAAACGCUUUAUUUAUAAGCUCAAGGUGGCACUGGCCGAGAUUCUGAUCAAUGUCUUGUAUGGAAUGUCACUUCCAGGUUUAUAAGGGAUUCUCGGUUCAGAUAUGUCACCCUCCCAGUUUCCUUCUAUAAAGAGAAUAUCUCUAUACUAGUCCUUAUCGUGACAUGGAAGAUCGGUGAUAUAGGCAAGCCAUCGAAGUGUGAAUUGAGAUUGAAAAAUGUAACGGAUACUGGCGUUCUUCUGGAGUUGAUAAAGAACAAGAAAUUCAGAUAAACCCAGCUCAGCAUGGAACCAAUCAUUCAGACUGUUAAAACAUGAGAUAAUACAAACAGAGGUUGGGGUGAGAUUGCAGAGACUGACUGGAAAAUGAACAAGAAUCUUCUUCCAUAGUGGCGAUAAAGGGAACCUUAAUCCAGAAUCAAGAUAGCAAGGGUGGAUUUUGGUAUAGGGACGAUCGGGUAUUUGGACUUAGGAAGAUCUGCAGCCACAUUCUCAUUGUCUUCCCACCAAAAUGAAUUGACUGAAAUUAGUUUUUCUUCCAUUGAUAUUUUUAUUCUUGGCAUGUAGUAGGAUAUAAAACCAAGUUGACACAUAAAAGAAUCAAGACAUGCACAAUCUCUUAUUUAGAAGUCAAAUAACUUAAGGUGCAAGUAACACUUAACUUGCUCAAAAGACUAUCAUUGGUAGAAUCCAACAAUGGCACACUUAUAUGAUACUAUAUAUUAUUUAACUUGAAUUUUCUACUUAACCUUUCAUUGACAUUGGUAUAAAACCGUAAAAAUAGAACCUAUGGUUCAUUAGGGGCAUCAUCAGUUGCAUUGGAUUCCGUAUUAUUUCUUUGUAAGAAGAAAAAUAUGAUAUUUUUUUUAGUUUUGUUUUUUUUCCACACAUCUAAUAUCAUGUGGUGUGGAGAUGUCAUGUUCUUACAACAAACUUCUUUUGUCGCGUUACUUAAAUCUCUCAUAAAACAUAAUUUUGGCACAUUCAAUUCAUAAAACUCCUUUAUGCGAGUACUGUUAUAUAUGAAAUGUGAAUUGUUAUUACAAGACCAAGUCAAUGUUUGGUAGCUUAAUUGGAGUACUAUAGAUAUAGAAUAGUGCUAUUUAGACAUUCGUUUUACUUUUCACACACCCUUGUUAAUUUUUUACCAUUGAUCUUCUUCAAUUUAUUCAAUCUAACAGUUGAAAAUUGAAAGGGGUGUGUAAGAAGCAAAAUAGAGUGUGUGAAUAACGUUAUCCUAUAUAUAUCGCAUCAUGUUAAAAGAUUUCAAUUCUUAACGCAAAAUAAGAAAGCAAACCACAUUACCGAUUAUUUACUAGUACACAGGCCAUGUAUACAAGUAAACUUAACAUACGCAAAUCGCUGCAUUUCUUUUAAAAAAUAAUAGUGAAAAUGAUAGUAGCUAGGUUCUUUUUUUUAAUUAAAAAACAUUACAAUCUUCUAAGAGAACGCUACUAAUGAUGUAUGGGAGUUCCUCAAAUCAGAAAAACUCAUACUUAAAAGAAGUUGUUCCUCUUCCUUCUCCACUAAAGCAAAAUUCUAGGAUGUUUAAGAGUAUGGUCCGGGUGUUUUAAUAGUUAGAUUAUAAUUUUUGUAUUUUUAAUAAAGAUAUAUCAAUUAAAACACUCGAAAAAGACCAACACCAUAAAUAGUGGAUUCUUCGGAAUUAUCUUCAUGUUGCAUGGCAUGCCGUUAAUUCAAUGGUGAAUACCUUGGAAUUGUGCCAUAAUGAGCCAAUCAUAUUCAUAGGCGACAAGACCAACACCAUGGAAUCCGAUUUGAAUUAUCCGAAGGAUUCCUUAUAUAUUAGGUUUUUUGUUGUGGUCUAUUUUAUCUGACAGAUGGACUAGGGCCGGCGGCAGAGAGAGAGAGGAGAGAGAUGUGUGUUUGUAGAAUUGUAGGGGAAUGUGUGUGUUGUUAUCCCUCCUACAUUGUGCCUUUAUUUAUAGUAGUAAAGGGAGAGAAGAUAUUCCUUCUCCUCCAAGUAAUACAAGUUGUAAUAGGAAAGGAUAACUAGAAUCAAAUCUUAUCUAGGAUUUACACAAUCAUACUUAAACUAGGAAUGUUUACAACACUCCCCCUUGAGUGGGUAAAUACUCAAGGUAGAUUCAGCAUCAUGCAGAAGUUGAGGAAGUCGACUCGUUGGCAUUGAUUCCAAGGAAACAACGCUUAUUCUCAAUAAGGUAGGAACUUGCAUAAGUAGUAAGUCUCACUGAAAAACCCUAAGGCUAUGGCAAAACCCCAAGUAGGGACAAAAUCCAUAGUCUAAGGAAAAAUGCGUGAGAAAUGCAAAGUCAAAAGAAACGUCUACAGGACGUCAUCAGGGAUAUGACCAGCCCAAGGUGGGUGCCUCGUUAAAACCUAGUUAGGUAGCAAAAAACCCAGUGGGAAAAAUGCUCCUAAUCGUAGGGAAAAAGAGUACAUUAAGAUCAAGCAAGUAUCUAGAAGAUACUCCCCCUGAGUUUGACAUAAUUCCACAGAGAAAUAGCAAAGUUACAACUCAGAAAGUUUACGCAUACCAAUUCCAUGAACAAGCUUCUGAAACGUCGCCUUCGGUAGUGAUUUGGUGAAGAGGUCGGCCAGAUUGUCUUGUGAUCGGAUUUGCGUGACUUCAAUCUUCUGAUGCUCUUGUUGUUGAUGUGUAAAGAAGAACUUCGGCGCAAUAUGCUUGGUGUUGUCUCCUUUGAUGUAACCCUUCUUGAGCUGUUCGAUGCAAGCUGCGUUGUCUUCAAAAAUCGUCGUCGGGGCAUUAACGGCGGGAUGAAGAUCACAGGAGCUUCGAAUAUGGCCCCACUACUGCUCUCAACCAAAAGCAUUCCCGAGUUGCUUCAUGUAAGGCGAGAAUUUCAGCAUGGUUAGACGAAGUGGCAACUAAGGUCUGUUUAGUUGACCUCCAAGAUAUUGCGGUGCCUCCAACGGUAAAGACAUAACCCGUUUGAGAACGCGCCUUGUGCGGAUCAGAUAAGUAUCCAGCGUCGGCAUAACCAACAAGGCGAGAAUCAACCCGAUGCGCAUAGGGUGCGGCAUCACUCGAGGAUUCGUAGGGAUAGAAUAAGCCCAAAUCCGUAGUACCCUUAAGGUAACGGAAGAUGUCUUUCACGCUAGUCCAAUGUCUGCGUGUUGGUGCAUUGCUGUACCUUGCCAAAAGAUUAACAGCGAAGGAGAUGUCGGGUCUAGUGCAUUGAGCUAAGUACAAUAAAGCGCCUAUCGCACUUAGAUAAGGAACUUCAGGCUCCAAAAUCUCUUCAUCAUCCUUCUUCGGACGGAAGGGAUCUCGCUUUGCAUCUAGCGUACGAACGACCAUAGGAGUACUCAAAGGCUUCGCUUUAUCCUCAUUAAAACGGCGCAACACCUUCUGGGUGUAGUUCGAUUGAUGUACUAGGAUUCCAUCCGAACAAUGCUCUAUCUCGAGACCGAGACAGUAUCGAGUCUUACCUAGAUCUUUCAUCUCAAAUUCCGACUUCAGGUGCGAAGCAGUUCUCGCGAGCUCUUCAGGAGUUCCGAUGAGAUUCAUGUCAUCGACAUAUACUGCAACAAUCGCAAAUCCGGAAUGUGACUUCUUAAUGAACACACAAGGGCAUAGUUCGUUAUUCACAUAUCCCUGACUAGUCAAAUACUCACUUAAACGGUUAUACCACAUUCUUCCGGAUUGUUUCAAACCGUAUAGUGAACGCCUCAGCCGAAUUGAGAGCGUGUUCCGGGGUUUGGAAAUAUUUGAACCAGUCAAUGUAAGUCCUUUGGGAACUUUCAUAUAUAAAUUUCCGUAUCAAGAUCCCCAUAGAGAUACGCGGUUACUACGUCCAUCAGCUGCAUAUCUAGUUUUUCGGAAACUACCAAACUGAUAAGGUAUCGAAAAGUAAUCACAUCCAUAACGGGUGAGUAAGUUUCGUCAUAGUCAAUCCCGGGGCGUUGUGAGAAACCUUGUGCUACAAGACGAGCUUUUUGUAACGCACAAUUUCGUUCUUCUCAUUACGCUUCCGAACGAAAACCCACUUGUAGCCAACGGGCUUUACAUGUGGAGGAGUAGGAACUACAGGUCCAAACACCUUACAUUUCGCAAGUGAAUCAAGUUCGACUUGGAUUGCUUGUUUCCAGUUUUGACCAAUCAGCUCUACGUCGACAUUCAUCAACGGAACGCGGUUCAAUGUCAUCGCUCAACAUGAUCUCAGUAGCUACUGCAAAUGCUAAUGCAUCGUCGACAAUCAUCUCAUUUCUACGCCACACAUCAUCUAAGCUAGCAUAAUAGACCGAAAUCUCACGAUUCUCGGGAGGAGGAUUCGUCUCUUCAAGGACGCUUCCAUAAUCUAGAAUUUCCUCAUGAGUUGGGUAAAAUGAGUAAGCGAUAGUCGGAUUCACGGUAGGCUCUUCAGGUCCUUGUGCCGUGGUUUUCCUCUUCCGGGGGUGUGAAUCCUUUGAACCAAGGGGUCUGCCACGCUUUUGUGUAGGGGCAGAUGAUUGGCUAGCCGCUAAUGUACGUGGAUCACCAGAAUUGGCGUCCCGGGCUUCCAGGAGGGUAGUCCGUCGUACAUUUGGUACAUCCAUCUUUGCAGGCGUAUUCGUAGCUGGAAUAUGUGAUCUUGUCACGCGCGCUAGAUCGGUGAAAGCAUCUGGCAUGCUCUGAGCUAUGCACUGGAGAUCUAAUAUGCGCUGCACUUCAGCUUCAGACUGAGCGGUGCGGGGAUCUAAAUGAGACAAAGUGGGAGUCGUCCACGAUAAUUCGCAUCGUUCAUUAGGAACGUUGACGUUCUUAUCUCCCCCUAACGACGGGAAGACUGUCUCAUAGAAGUGACAAUCCGCGAAACGAGCGGUAAACAGAUCGCCUGUCAAAGGUUCUAAGUAACGAAUAAUCGAAGGAGAAUCAUAUCCGACAUAGAUUCCCAUCCUUCGCUGAGGCCCCAUUUUUGUACGUAAGGGCGGCAAGAUCGGCACAUAGACCGCACAACCAAAAAUGCGCAGAUGCGAUAUGUCGGGUUCGCAUCCGGUGACCAACUGAAGGGCACUAAAUGGUUGUGUCGCAACAGGCCUCAGGCGGACCAACUUUGCUGCGUGCAAUAUUGCAUGGCCCCAAGCAGCGAUCGAUCGGGAGCUUGGUACGUAUGACCAACGAUCGAGCAAUCAUUUGUAAACGCUUAAUGAAAGCCUCUGCCAGGCCGUUCUGGGUGUGAACAUGAGGUACAGGAUGUUCAACUUCAACCCCAACCGACAUGCAAUAGUCAUCAAAAGUUUUAGAUGUGAAUUCUCCAGCAUUAUCCAAUCGAAUAGAUUUGAUCGGAUAAUCAGGGUGGUGAGCCCUGAGCUUGAUAACCUGAGCCAACAGUUUGGAGAAUGCAGCGUUCCUUGUGGACAACAAGCACACGUGUGACCAACGUGUAGAAGCGUCAACCAAAACCAUAAAAUAUCUAAAUGGUCCGCAGGGAGGUUGAAUCGGUCCACAAAUGUCCCCCUGAAUCCGUUGUAGAAAAAUGGGAGGAUUCGAACGAAUCUUGUCAUAAGAAGGCUUAGUAAUAAGCUUUCCCAUAGAAACAUGUUUGGCAUGCAAUUUCAUGGAUCGAACCUAAGCUUCGGGUUAGUGGAUGCCCGUGUGAAGUUUUGAGGAUACGGCGCAUCGCUAUUCGUCCAGGAUGUCCCAAACGAUCAUGCCAAAGUGUAAUUUCGUGCGCGGUCCCUGUGGUAGGGCCGGCCACAUAGUGGCAUUCUAUGGGGCGUAUGGUCGUAGUAUACAGACCACUCGGGUUACGCUCCAUCUUCUCUAGAAUACGCUUCUGGCCAUAUUCGUAGGAAGUUACGCACAAAAAUUCAACUCCGUUUUCUACGUGGGUUUCAGCGUGGUAAUUGUGAUCUCUAAUGUCCUUGAAACUUAGUAACGUUCUUCCGGAACGUGGAGAAUAGAGUGCCUCAGCAAUGGUCAAGAUUGUACCAUUGGACAACAUUAUACGUGCAUUACCGUAUCCUUCGAUCAGGUUGGAUGGGCCUGAGAGGGUUGUCAGAGGUGCAUUCUUAGGUACGAAGUUAGUGAAAUAGAUGCGUUCACGCAAAACAGUAUGCGUGGUUGCACUAUCUGCCAGACAACUAACUUUCCCACUAGUCAUACCUAGAAUGAAAAAUUAAUUUGAAUCGGUCACAUGCAUAAAAAGUUUAUAAAAACAAGUAUCAAUUCAAAAUAAUUUCAUUUAUUCAAGGAAAAAACUUAAUAUCCAAAAUAAAUCGCCAACUAAUAAUCCAAAACAUAAAGGAAAAUUGUUCAAAAUCAACCAAAAAAACAAGGUGGGUUCGGCCACAAGGUGGAAUUCGGCCCCAAUUGUCUUAUUUUAACUGAAAAAUAAGUCUAUGUCUAAGAUUCUAAUCUUCCAUAGGAGUGGUAUCCUCCUGAAAAUCAGAAACCUCCAUCUUUGUAGUCUCCGGUUCGUCCACUUGCAGGAAGUUUGAUUCAAACUUCGUACGACGAGAAUGAUAUGCAUCCACAACCUUCUUGGGAGCACGGCAAAUACGGGACCAAUGGUCCUUGGAACCACAACGAUAGCACAUAUCGUCAUUCAUUAUGGCAGGUGCUUUGCCCUUAUUCUUGAAGUUCGGGGCCUUGGGAGCGAGGUUUGGGCGCUUCUGGGCUUUGUUUCCUGCCUUGGAUGGGCCUUGGCUCUGUUGACCUUGGUGGGAUGGCUUCUGGCCGCCCUUACCACGCCUCUUUUGGCGUUUUGGGUGCUGAUUAGUGCUAUAAUGUGCUUCAGGAAGCACAGCAGUAGCCCCAGUAGGUCGAGCUUGAUGAUUCUUCAUCAACAGCUGGUUCUGCUUUUCAGCAAGAAGUAAAACAGAGAUCAAAUCCGAGAACUUAGUGAACUUCUGAGCUCUAUAUUGUUGCUGCAAGACAAUAUUAGAAGCAGAGAAGGUUGAGUAGGUCUUCUCCAAGAGAUCCUCUUCAGUCAAAGUUUCAUUGCAAAACUUGAGAAGUGAUCGGAUUAGACAAACUUCAUAAUUAUAUUCAUUCACAGACUUAAAGUCUUGGAAGCGCAAGUGCUGCCAGUCGUGUCUUGCUUCAGGCAAGAAUAUGUCCUUUUGGUGAUCGAAACGAUCAGCCAAAGCGACCCAUAAUGCACGUGGAUCCUCCUCAGCAAGGUACUCAGUUUGUAGAGCGUCAUGGAUAUGUCUUCGGAUGAAGAUCAUAGCAGUGGCUUUUUCAGCCUCGCCAACAGGUUUAUCUGUUGCUUCUUCAAUAGCAGGACGCAAGUUCUUUGCAGUGAGGUGGAGCUUCACAUCUUGAACCACUUGAGGUAGUUCCUUCCAAAAACCUCCAAAGCGGUGAAGUCGAGUUUGUUCAAGUUCGACAUGUUCCUAUCACAAAAUAGAUGGACAAGAUAUGGUUAGUGUAAUGGAGAAAAAUCAAUCCAUUCACAUAGGAGUAGAAACAUACAGGUUCUAAUAGACAUGUAUUGGUUUAAUUUUGCAUGAAAAACUUUCGGGUUUUCAUGGGUGAGAUAUAUUUAAGUGAAAACUUCGGGUUUUCAAACAAGGCAUGUGUAUAAGAAACUUCGGGUUUCAAAGUAAUUAUGAACUUCAGGUUCAUAUAUUCCUGCAGGCAAACACAAAUAUAUAUGCAAAAAAAUAUGCAAAGAAUAUAUGCAGAGAUAUUGUAUAAUGAUAAGUGAAUUAAUUUAUUUUUGGUCUUCGGGGCCAAAUUAAAAUGUGGGUGAAAAUAUAAAAACCCAUAUUAUUUAAAAAAAAAUUAAAUAAUAAAAUCUCGGGGCCUAAAAAUAUAGGCUAAGAACCCUCGGGUGGGAUUACAGGCCCACGGGGUGAGAAGAGGGGAAUGGGCUGCUGUGUGCAGCCCUAAAAAUUAUUAUUAUUUUUUUUAUUAUUAUUUGGGCCGUUCCAGGCGAGCCCAUAAACUUUUUUUUUUUUUUUUAUGCGGGCCGCUCCAGGCGAGCCCAGAAACCUUUUUUUUUUUUUUUUUUUUUUUUUUUAAUUAGAUGCAUAUAUAAUUCAAUGAAUCACAUAUUUACUUUGAUGCAUAUGCAAAUAAUAGUUUCAAUGCAUGUACAUAUGUAAGAUUCAAUUCAUGGCAAAUAUCAAAUUCACAUAAUUGUAGCAAUUUUGAUGAUGAAGCAUACACAAUUUAUGUAGAAUCUAAAAUACGUUAAACGUAAAGUUGGGUCAUGCAUCAUGGUGAAUGUUCAUGCUAUCAGGGCUUGCAAAAUAUCGAGUUAAAAGCCGUUGUUUGGAAAGAACCUGAUUGCGUGAUGAUAUGGAUGAACUGGUUUGAUGCAGAAAAAAUCUCCAACGUCAGAUUCCUAAGCGCAGCGGUAGAAGCGUGCUGAUAACGUGUUGUGGUCUAUUUUAUCUGACAGAUGGACUAGGGCCGGCGGCAGAGAGAGAGAGGAGAGAGAUGUGUGUUUGUAGAAUUGUAGGGAAUGUGUGUGUUGUUAUCCCUCCUACAUUGUGCCUUUAUUUAUAGUAGUAAAGGGAGAGAAGAUAUUCCUUCUCCUCCAAGUAAUACAAGUUGUAAUAGGAAAGGAUAACUAGAAUCAAAUCUUAUCUAGGAUUUACACAAUCAUACUUAAACUAGGAAUGUUUACAACAUUUUUAUCCUUCUUUUUGCUACUUUAUUGAUUAAAAUCCUAUUCCUUUUCAAUUUUUGAUCAAGAUCCUUAAGUAUUAAUAACAUCAUUAAUUAUUUCAAUAAUAAAAUAUUUUUUAUUUCUAAAUAUAUUCAUUUAAUGUUAAAAAUGUUACAAUUAGUAUAUUUAUAUUUAUGACUUGUUGCAGUCAUAUUUAGAAUAGGAAUGUAAUUGUGUAAAUCCUAGGGAAUAUGAGAAUGUAUCUUAUAUUCCUAUUAGGAUUAGAUUACCUAUUAAAUGUUGUAAUCCUAAAGGGAAAGGUUUUACCCUUGCUACUACUAUAAAUAAAGGCACAAUGGGGUGAAUCAAACACACCUCACAAUUAAAUCAAUCUCUAUUCUCUCUAAUAGUGGCCGGCCCCCUCUCUCUCUCUAAACCCUAGAUCGUUCAAUCAAAUAGGCCUACAACAUGAUUAAAUUUUUUAUCAUAUAUUUUUAGUUUUAGUUUAUACCCAUUUUUAAUUUGUAAUUCUUUUUUAACUUGUACCAAUUUUCUUUUCAGUUUUUUUCCACACAUCCAAUAUCAUGUGGUGUGACAACUCGUCCCAAAUUUUAUUAUUUUAUAAAUUUUAAAAUGUGGAUUUACGAGAAUACCCUAGUGGCGAGGGUAUUGAUUUUCAUUGACCGCUAGUUCAUGAUGCAUAUGAACUAUUACCUUACUGUAUUCCAAAUGUAUGUUGGUAAGAAUUGUUAUUUAUUAUUUUUUUCAUUUCAUAUUAUUACUAUUACUAUUAUUAUUAUUAUUAUUAUAAGGCUGAUUGUUAGAAAAAUAGGAGGAGGGAAAAAGAAAUAAGGGAAGAAAAUGAAGGGGGGAGGUUGCCUGAUGGCAGCAGAUGAGAGGGGGAGGUGAGGAAAUGAGAGAAAGAAGGUGGGCACUGCCUAAUCGGAAAGGAGAGAGGGAGGUGAGGAAACCAAUCAAGAAGGGAGACUGGGGAGGGAAAGGACGGAAGUGAGAAGCACCAAACCAUGCCCUUCAUCCCUGUGACCUGUUCGACCUGAGAAGAACUCGGACAUCCCCAAGUCAUUUUUGACGAUAUUCGCCAUUAUUCCUAGCAAAUCAUAACUCUUCCACACCUAAAAUCAUCAUCUAACCCUUCCCUCUUCCAUUUCCAACCAAAUUUAGAAGAAAUUUGGUUGAAAUUUUGUGAAGAACCGUUUGUGGGGUGUGACAGGUUCGUGUGAGAAAUCCUCAAAUCUUGAAGCUAGUUCUUGCAAUUAACACCACCAAAACACUUCUCUAGGGGCCAGGAACAAUUCCCGAACAUUGGUUGAGGCGGUAGAACACCAGAGGUGGAGGAUCGAGGCCAUCCAAAUUCUAGGGUUCCGACAGGUUUUAUCGAAAUUGAAGCUUUUCUCGGCUAAAUUGGCAUUGGUCACAGGUAUGAAAGUUGUUCUAGUUAUUGAGAUCUUCAAAUCUGAAAAUUUUGGUAAUUUUUAGAGAUAGUUGAUUUUUCCGACGAGUCGGGGUGGCCAACCGCCACCCACAGCGGCGCGUGGCCAGAGGGCCGCCAAUGCUAUUUUUAGGCUAUAUUUGAUGCCUUGAAUUCAGUUUGGAGAAUUGAAUGACGUAGAUUGAUUGUUAGAACCAAAAUUCUCUAAGAUACGUUAAUAUACCAUUAUAUGAAUCGACGAUCCGACAGUUGGAUCGUCAUCAAACUUUAAUAGGUUAUUAUUCAUAAUAUUUGAGGAAUAUAGGAACUUAUGGAUUGGGAAUCCGACGUACAGAUCUUCUCGAAUUGGAUUUGUAAGUUCGUAAAAUAAAAUGUUAACGGCCACUUGGUUUUGGCAAUUGGUGGAGAUCCAACCGUUGGAUCGUUCCGAAACUUUAGUAUGUUAUUUUAGAAGCAUAAUGUGGAUCCUUGAAAGUUACAGAUCAGAGAUCUGAUUUGUAUAUCUUCUGGACUGAAUUACGUAGACUCAUGUGCGAUGUAAGUUAUGUAUUGUAUCAACGAGAAUUAUGAGAUAUGGUUUGAUAAUUGGUCACAAGCGCCGAUCGUUUAGGAUGCCUUGAUGUUUGUGCUAGGAAGUUGUAGCGCGGACUCCAGGUGAGUGGAUCUUUCCUUGCUUAUCAUAUUUUUCAUGAUUGAUAAUCCUAUAAAUGCUUUUAAAUAAAACUAAGAAAUUUAUGCCAUGACAUAUAUAUAUUUAUAUGUUAUAAAAUACUAUAAGAUGGUUGAGUUUAGAUUUCAUCGUGAUAUAUCCAUAUGCGUAUUACUAUAAAUGAUUAUUGUGAACUAUGAAUGGCUUGAUCCUGCUUAGGGUACGUAGACAGUCUAAUGAAACGUUAGAUGCAGCCAUAUAAGAAAUGAGAUUAUAUAAUCGAGACAAUAGCCUUAUUUAAGGAAUUGAGCAAGGUGAGGGAUAUUGGUGAAAAAUGUGCGUUAUAACUUUAUGUUUUGGUGAUUAAUAGCUAGUACACCAUAUUAUAUAAUUGGAAAUACUAUGAAAUGUUUUUAUUUUAGAUUUCAUCAUGGCAUAUCCUUACUUAUAUUCCUUGCACAUAAUUAUUGUGAACGCUCUGAAGUGCAAAGGUGAACGCAGGACACACAGGUAAGUUCAGGUAAGUUCAAGUAAGUUUAGGUAAGUUUAAGUAAGUAUACAGUAUUAGUUGAAUUGAUGGGGUUAUGAUAUGACUACAUUUAUGUUUAAAACAACUUCGACAUUGUCGUACAGGUUGCAAUAGUAGGCAACUCUGACAUUGUCGUACGAGUUUCUUAUGAGUCGUACAUGUUGUAUUAGAUGCAUUCAAAGCUCAUAAACCUGCACCCCGGUGUUAGUGCUCCCGCCUGUGGCCAGGGCACAGUUCUUCACAUAAUGUUCACCUCCCGCACCAUACACUCACCUUGAAUUCAAGAUAGGUGCAUAGGCCUGUCAUACAUACCACUAUAGGUGGUUCCGACUCGUAAAUGGUUCUUCACGUGAUCGUAGCACUUGAGCGUACUCAUUUACACCAGUCAUGUCAUACCGACCACUUCUGUGAUUCCGACUCGUGUGCAGACGUAGUGCCGUAUAGGCCACUAGAGGUGACUCCGGUUUAUGUGCUAGCAAUGAUUAAUGAAAUAUUAGUACAGUUGUACAGGUCACUAGAGGUGACUUCGACUUAUAUGCUAGCCACGAUUGAUGAGAUAUGUGAUGAGUAUGUGAUGAUCUAGCAUAUGUAAUGAACAAGAGACGAGCUAGCAUAUGUGAUGAGUUAGCAUAUGUAACGAAUAAAAGAUGAGCUAGCAUAUAUGAUGAGUAUGUGAUGAGCUAGCAUAUGUAAUGAAUAAGAGACAAGCUAACAUAUGUGAUGAGUAUGUGAUGAGCUAGCAUAUGUAAUGAAUACGUGACGAGCUAGCAUAUGUAAUGAAUAUGUUAUGAAUUAGCAUAUAUGACGAGAUAUGGGUAAGUUGUACAGGUCACCCUAGGUGACUCCGACUUGCGUACUAGUAUAAGUUAUUAAUUGCAUGAUUAUUUGAUAUUAUUGAUGAAAUGUUGUGUUGUGGUAUAUUAUGAAUUUUUUGGUAACUAUACAGGUGUUAUAGUGAGGGAUUAUAAUGUUUUGCAUGGUUUCUAUUAAAAUUAUACUUACAGGGCCACUCACCCUUAUCUUGUCUUCACCCUCCAAGUUUUAUUAGCUAAGCUUUCUUAUCGUCAAAGAUUCGUGGAGAUUCUUAGUAUUGAAGAUUAUUUCGAGGGUACGAUUCUUAAUUCACUCUUUUGUACUUGCUUAUGCUCUAACGUCAUGUGUCAAGGGGGUUCAUUCUCGCUCACUGGUGCAAUCUGGUAUUUAGGCACUUUUUCACAUCAGCACACUUUAUGGCUACGUCACCUUUCAGGUGUCGGCCAACACAGCUCGAUUCGGAGUCCUAGUGGACAUUCCGGGUCGGGGUGUGUUAUGUGGUGUGGAGAUGUCAUGUUCUUACAACAAACUUCUUUCGUCUCGUUACUUAAAUCUCUCAUAAAACAUAAUUUUGGCACAUUCAAUUCAUAAAACUCCUUUAUGCGCGUACUGUUAUAUAUGAAAUGUGAAUUGUUAUUACAAGACCAAGUCAAUGUUUGGUAGCUUAAUUGGAGUACUAUAGACAUAGAAUAGUGCUAUUCAGACAUUCAUUUUUAUCUUUCACACAUCAUUGCUAAUUUUUUACCAUUGAUCUUCUUUAAUUUAUUCAAUCCGAUAGCUGAAAAUUGAAAAGAGUGUGUAAGAAGUAAAAAAAAAAAAAGUGUGAAUAACGUUAUCCUAUAUACAUCGCAUCAUGUUAAAAGAUUUCAAUUCUUAACGGAAAAUAAGAAAGCAAACCACAUUACUGAUUAUUUACUGAUACAUAGACCACGUAUACUAUUAAACUUAACAUACACAAAUUACUGCAUUUCUUUAAUUUAUUUUUAGUGAAAAUGAUAGUAGCUAGGUUUUUUUUUUUUUUAAAUUAAAUAACAUUACAAUCUUCUAAGAGAACGCUACUAAUGAUGUAUGGGAGUUCUUCAAACCAGAAAAACUAUUACUUAAAAGAAGUUGUUCCUAUUCCUUAUCCAUUAAAGAAAAUUUUUAGGAAGUUUAAGAGUAUGGUCCGGGUGUUUUAAUAGUUAAAUAUAAUUUUUGUAUUUUUAAAUAAAAUAACGAUUAAAACACUUGAAAAUUUGACCAACACCAUAAAUAGUGGAUUCUUCGGAAUUAUCUUCAUGCUACAUGGCAUGCCGUUAAUUCAAUAGUGAAUACUUCGGAAUUGUGCCAUAAUUAGGACUCAUUUGGAUGUACUUUUAAAAUGGCUGAAAGUGCUAUUAAAGAAAAUGUUUUUGGGUACUAAAAGCACUUUAAGUGCUUUCUGUAAAAAGCACCAAUUAUGUGCUUCUUACGGGUGAAAAAGGGGUAAUGGUAAAAAAAAAGAUAAACGGGUUAAAAAGGGUAAAUGGGUAAACGGAUAUUAAAUGGUUACGAUUAAAUGGGUAUGCGGUUAUGGGUAUGGUUAACCGUUUAUAAACGGUUAUGGGUAUGGGUAUAACCGUUUAGGCAAUUACCCAACGGGUAAACGAUUAUGCAGGUAUGAGCAUAAACGGUUAUGGGUAAAUAACCGCGGUUACCCGUCCGCCAUAACUGUUGCCCAUCCCUACAUAUAAGUAUAACAAUAGAAUGUAUGACAAACUAUAUGAAAAUGAAAAGACAUGAAGGAAAUAAAAUUGAACACUUAUCAAAUAUUCACCAACAAAGAGAUAACUUGAAAGGAAAUGAGAAAUACAAUCAAUCAGGCAAAGUUAAAACCUAUUUGAGCAAGUUCUAUUGUUGUCGGGUAAGUUCUUGCUAGUAACUUAAGUGCUUUCAAAUGAAGUUUUAAUACAGGAAAUUGAUACUACAAGCAAUGUAGCAGAGCUUUUAAACUAAACGCAAUUGCAAAUGUGUCGAAUUAUAAAAGCAAUUUGGUAAAGGUAGGUUGCAGAGCUUUAAAGUUUUUUUUUGUGUUGUGAGUUGAGUAUCCUUGUCUUCUACCUUUCUUUUACCUUAUAUAGAACAAGUUUUCCCUUUAGUUCAAGCAUCUUCCCUUCGAAGUAAUUCUCUCUCAUCCUAGUUGUUAAUGUGACUACUGAUAGGAGAUAAGAAUUUACACUGCAACUUGAGCUUUCAUCCCAUCAAAAUUAUCGAAAUGCCAUUAGAAAGUUGCUUUUCCUCUAUAAAAACCGACUGAGGUAACAACCCAAUGUGAAAGAGGGUUUUGCCGCCCACAAUUUUACAUACAAAGUGCUUUCAAAUUCUUAAGCUUGCACAUUGUUCACUUCUAUCAAAAUAAAGACUCAUAUGUGCGUUGUGUUAAAUAACAAGAUUAGGCCUCAAACAUGGCCAAUGUUAAAUUUUAAGUCCAAACAACUUUUAUUCUGCUUCAAGUGCUUGCACAUAUACAACAAAAUGCUUACCUCAUGCAGCUUGAUUACUUAUUUUCUUUUCUUUUUUUGAAACUUAAUUACGUGUUAUCCCUACACUAAUUAUUUAAAGUUCUGAAACAUGUUAUAGAAUUAUUUAAUGUUAUGAAACAUGUUAUAUUUUUAUUACCAUAAAAGCUUACGUAGUUUCAGCACGUCAUGAUAAAUGCAAUAAAAAUAUUAUAACUAACACGUGGCAUGAUUAAAAAGGAUUUUUAGACUUUUAUACACAUAGUAGCAUGUAUACAAAGGCUAGUUUAAAUUAAGGAAAAGACCAAAAAUAGUGAAAUAUCUAAGGAUUCUAACGAUUAAAACACUCGUAUGAUACAAAACAUUGAAGCCACACCUUAAAAUAAUGUCCGAAUAAUUAUCCAUCCCUCUCAUGUCUUUUCUUUUUUUCAAUUUGGUUUAUUUUAUUCUUUUAAUAUUAAAAAAAUGUAUAAACUUAAAACUUUUUCUAAGAUCCUCUAACUAACACAUGUUUGGCAUCAUUUAGAGUCCACAAAUUUUAUUUCUUUUUUUGUCAUUUCAUUGUUAGAGUAUACACCCCACAUUAAUCAAGCUACCACGGUAUGGUUUAUUUAAUUAAUUUUUUUUAUAGAAGUUAACAUGGCAAUUAAACAUAAAGGUUUAUCAUUUACUUUUUGGAGAGUUUAAAAAUUGAUCAUUGUUGUAAGUAUUUUAUGUGGUUUUUUUUUGUUGGUUUAAAAAUAGAUUUUGUUAGAUUAGUCACCGAUCGGUUUCAAACUCACGCGUCAUGCAAAGGUUCAACAUUUUUCCAUUACUUAGGUAAAGGAACGCUUAUUUAUGUGGUUGUUGGAUUAAUAUGGUAUCUUCUGUGGUAAUAUCUUCUCGUUUUAGUUCUUUACUGAUGUAAAUUGGUAAGCUUCCAUUCACCAAAUGUUGGCCCCAUCUAAAGAAGUUUUGGGAAAUGAAAAACAUUGAUUUCAUCCAUUUUCUCUAUUGUUUUAUCUCUUAAUAUUUUAUUUCCAACAUGUUACUAGUAGGCGCUAACUGUAAUUUAUUUUUUUUAUGUUUAUUUUAUUUGAGCUAGAGAUUUUAUAUGUUCAACCAUUAGAUUUGAUGAUGCUCUCAAAUUUUCUUAUACGAAUAUAAUACAUAACAUUGAAUUGAUUUCUUUUUCAUAAGUGAUAAGGUCAGAAACAUAAAAUAGCAUUUAUUAUAAGACAACUAUCUACAAAAACAAAUACCCACUACUAGAAAGCCAUUGUCAACUGUAACAUUCGUAGUUGAUGUGCAGGUUAGCUCAAAUGGGCACGCAUCAUUUGGAGCUGACAUCGAGUAAUUCUUGUUGUGGAUGUCAAUCGAACAAUCAUCGUGUGAAAUGUUCGCAGGUGAGUGCCUUGCAGACGUGUUGGAAGGAGUGAUCGUGAGUGGUGGUGGCGAGUUCGAUGAUGCCUCCACUACGGGAUAAGAACCGGCAUAACAUAGUGGUAAUACUAUUGUGGCAUGUCGUGCAUCUCCUGGAUAGGUGGUGUGCGUAUCCAAAAUGUGUUCCAAUUGUUACUUUCAACCCACCACCAAAAUAGAAACGGGUUGGGAUUUUGCUGUAAAGGCACGAUUGGUUGUCGGGCCACCAUCACUACCUUCAGAGCGCAAUCAAACAUGAACUAUAUGGUCAAAUCAAAUGAAAAAAAAAGAAGAGAGAAAUUAGAACGAAAUCGAAACAAAAGCUCAGCCUUCUUGCAGUCUUGCGCUUUCAUACAGAGAAGGACGGGCAAUUUGGUCACUUACAUACAAAUGGAGAAAACGCCCACGAUGCCAUCUUAGGCGUGUAUUAAAAUUUUUCCAGCGUGAGAAGUUUUUUAUAGAGUAAAAAGAUUUUAAGCAAAAUUUUGAGUGCCAUAUUAAAAGAGUAAACUUGGUGAAACACUUUCAACCUUUAUAGAUCUUCCACUCAUCUGUGUUAUCAAGUUGUGCAAAGCUUCAGGCCCUGAUGUGAUUACGUCCGCAACCAGAGAGGUUUGCGAUCAAGAGGAGACAAAAAGAAACAAGUACCAGAACAAGAGGGCAAGGCAAUCUUUAAGGCUUAGUUUCAGCUAUGUCCCUUAAAACUCGACUUUGACCUUAAUUUCCUCCCGAAGCUCUAAUUUCGCCAAUUAACCCCGUGAAACUCUAUUUUUACUUCAUUUUCCUAGUUUUCAUCUAUUCCAUUAAAUAGCCGUUAAAUUGUUGCAAAAAUUGAGUUUCAGGAAGUUAAGUAGCAAAAUUUGAGUUUCAUAGAGCAACGUGAGAUCAAAGUCGAGUUUCAAAAUGCAUGACUAAAAAUAAACCUUUGUUUAGACUUCGUGAAUUCUUUCCCCGGCUUUAUGUCCAUGAAUUUUCCUUUUUGUUCCUGCAUUAUACCACGUAAAAUAAAUCUUGUUAUUCUUGUACUGCAUUUUAGUUAAUUAUUUACUGCUGUGUUGCAGGAUUGAAAUUGUGCUUCAUUUGCGUUGGGUCUGGAUAAAUUUGAUCGUGGCUGGUUAUCUUUCGUAUUUGAUUUCCUCUAUCCAUUCGCAUUUUCACACUAGCUCAAGACUCACAACCAAUGGUAGCUUACUGAAGGUUGUCUUAAACUACGGGUUAGAAAACAUGAAUAAUGAAACAUAGGUUGAAACAAGAAACUUAGUAUUAUAGUCUAGUGGUAUUUCUCUUAAUAUGUAAGUGAGAGAUCUUAGGUUCGAUUCUCACCAAAAGGCAAAGGCGAAUUUGAACCAAAUUAUGCUAGCUCAUUGUGAGACUAAACUCACUCUCUCCCUUUUAGUGUAGAUAAUAUUGUUUGUUAGAAAACAUAAAAUAAAAAAAUGAAGUAAAAUAUCUAUAGAAAAAUAAAGAAAUUUGGAAAUUUGCAUACAUGAAGUUAAUGUAUUUCUAUAUAUGCCUGUGUACCAGUCAAUAAUUCAGUGAUGUGGUUUGCUUUCUUUUGCGUUAAGAGUUGAAAUCUUUGAAAACGACGAAAUAGUCCCUGAACUCAUCAGUAUUCACAUGGCCAUGCUACCAAACAUUGACUUGGACUUGUCAUAACAAAUCACAUUUCAUAUUUAAGCACGCGCAUAAACAAGUUUCAUGUUGAAUGUGCCUUAAAAUAUGUUUUAUGAGAUAUUUAAGUAAUGCGAUUGAAAGAAGUUUGUUGUAAGAAUAUGACACGAAAUAUCCAUAUUUGGAUUGUAGACAUGUAAAUUUCGUUGCAUGCAAAUGAUGUAUCACAAAACUUCACAUGACAUAUGACCCAUCACAAAUGGACAAGUCAUCGAUGACAUGUAGCACAAAUCAAGCAAUGAAAGUGUAAGAUAUUCCCAAAAUUCGGCAAAAGGGAGAAAAUCCACCUUAAAAUCGGCAAGGGACCCAAAAUCUCUCAAAACCGGAAAGAAAGCCAAAGCAUCGUCACAAAAUAAGUAAGAAUUGAAGAUUGUUCACAAAUAGGCAACAAGGCCUAUAAAUUUCGGCUAAUAUGAGGAAGGUGGCUAAAAUUAAGACAUAAAAUAUGCCUAAAUUCUCUCAGGGACAAAUCAAGCACAAAUCAAGGCCAAAUCCAUCCAAAGGCAUGGCUUUGGAAGUCUAUAAAUAUAAGGAUCCAAGACACACAAAGGGGUCGAAAAAUUACACAUUGAAAAGAACCUCUUCACAAAUCUUUAAAGACUAAUACACUGUCAAAUCUUUCUUCGAAGAACCCGCAACCAAAGCCGAAGCACUCCCUUGAAGAAUCAACAAGAACUCGUACCGAUUCCUUCAAGACUUUGUUGCAAGCUCAAAACUUGUAAUGACGUUCAAUUCAAAAUCAAGUUGCCAAGACUCUUGAAUCAAUGAAAUCUUGGAUCAACAUCACCCUUUGCCGCAACUUUGAGGUGAAGACCAUCCAAGCAUUGUUUCAAGCUCAAAACUUGAAGCAAUCAUUCAAUCGUUCGUCCAAGAUCAAGUCAUUGCGACCCUUGAAUCAACAACCUACUCAUCUACAUCAAAUUUGAAAACUGAAUCAGAGGAAAAUUAUAAACAUAGACUGUAACCUACAAAUUCAAAUCAAAACAAAUCUACUUUGUACACGUGUUCUAGUUUUAUUCGUUACAAAAUUUUCGUGUUUACAUGGAUAUGUGGAAAAACAAAACUAAAAACAUUUAAAUCAUAUUUUUCUUCUUAUAAAUAAACAGCACUGAAUCCAAUGCAACUGAUGAUGCCCCAAAAUGAACUAGGUUCUCUUAGAGUUUUAUACCAGUGUCAAUGAGAGGCUAAAUAGAAAAUUCAAGUUAAAAGAUAGUAAUAUAAGCGUGUCAUUGUUGGAUUCUACCAAUGACAGUCUAAGAGAUUGUGCAUGUCUUGAUUCUUUUCUGCGUCUAGUAACUUAAGGACUUGGUUGCUCAUGAACAAAAUCUGAAGUACAAAGAUAAGGACAAGAGUCUUACCUGCAGAACCUAAUGAAGAUGAUGAAGCCAUGACAGACUAUCAAACAGUUAACCUUCUCCUCUUUGCAAUAAAACAAGCGCUCUUAAACAAUAGGUCUUUGAUGCAGAAUGAGCAGGGGAAUUGCAAGAGCAGUGAUCAAUGUUUAUAUACUAAAUGUUCUCCUAACUGAUCUCCUAUUAGAAUCAGCUUAGGACAAACAAUUCAAUCUUAUUAAACAGGUGAACAAAUAUAGUCCUAAUACAUUCUCAAGUCCUCAAAACUUGGACUGCUAUUAGAAUUAGUAAUCCUCAAAACUUGGACUGCUAUUACAACAGAGCUGGACAAGGCUUGGAAAUGGUAUUGGUACAUACCCUCAAUCAUGUUGCUCACCCGUAGUAUAACACAUGAUAUAUCAAGUGACAAGUAUUUUGGUUACAUUUAAAAAUUUCUCAAGGGGUGUUAACAGUAUAGCGACACAUGGUUUCCUAAAUCAGUUUCAGUUAAGAGUUUGUUAGAGAAUUGUUUAAGUGUUAUUGGGAUAUAUACUCAACACUCCUCAUAAUUAUUUAUGUUUUCCAAGAUACAUAAAAAGACAGAAGCGCUCUUUCUCUUCAGUUCAUCUUCCUCAUUUUACUGAAAGAUUGCUGAUCUUCUACAAUACUUAAAGAGUAAUAAGCACAUUUAUUUCUUAUCAUGAGGUACAAAACAUGAAAUGCAGAAUGAUAAAAAGAACAAUAUAGCCUAAACCACGUUGUCAUUUCUUGCAUAUUCAUCUUGUUCAACGCUUCUUUGUCAACGAGAUAACCAGGUUAAUGUACUGGCAAUUCUCCAUUUCCAUGUGAUCAAGGACAUCUUCUUCGAACCGGUGAAACAAAUCGUCCAUAGCUGCUUCUCCGAAUUGGGUUGCCAGAAUAGGCUCUCCCACAGCCCUUAUAUCAGUGGCAAGUACGGCAGCCCUUGCCUUUCUAUCAAGGCCACUGUCAGCAUGCUUUAUAUAAGAGUCCCAAUCAUUUUUGAAAACUUCAAGGCUUUGCAAAGUAAAAGAUCCUUCAGCCUCGAUUACAUCUUCAACCUCCUUUGUUGUUGGUGCAUAAUAUGGCAGAUUGAAGAUCUCCAGUUUUUCCUUCUCAAUCAAACCCUGAAAUUCAUCUAACUGAAUAAUGUUAGUAAUUAGCAAAGUAGUUAUUGAAGGAAACAAGUACAUUUUAAGACUUUGUUGGGAAAUUCGGGUUCCUUGUCGUUAAGAUUAGGGUUCGCUUUAGGCUGCUUUUUAGUUUUCGUUAUAUAUAGGAUGUGUUUUGUAAUUUUUUAGAAUAACAAGUCAGUUAAAAUGUAUCCCUUAGUUUGUAACUCUAUCAGCAAUUUUGUUUAUUUGUUUUUUCAUUGGUUUCAUCUCGAUUAGAGAAGUAGUUAAAAAGUGGCCAUAAACUUGCGAUAGUGGUCGUAAACUAAUGUGGUUCAUAUUUAGUUGCUUUUAUUUUGUUCCUAUUUGGUACAUAGAUAUUUAGGUUUAAUUAUCUAGGCCACACAUUACCUCUAAAACCAUAUCAUUGAGUUGACUCCGACAACUUCCCAAAUGCAAAGUGGGUCAUGGCUCUUUAUGCUGCCCAUUGUGGUUAGGACCAUACUUCCUCCGGGGACCAGCUCUUCUGCUCGUGACCUCAAAAACACCGUAAAGUCCUUUUUGAAUUGCUCCAAAUACAACUUAUACACAGCAUAUGGGCUUGUUUUUGCUAUACAUAUGUUCUUCUUGUUUAGUCCCUCUCCUUCCUUGGUCAUCAAACCUUUCGGAGCCUACACAGUACGUUUUAUCAUAAUAAAUACCAUGAUUAAUUAAACCACCACGAAAAAUAUUAGUAAGUGUAUGAGGGGUUAAAAAAUAAAAUAAAAUAAAACAAUUCACACCUCAGAGAUCCACAUAAGGGCAUAAUUAGAGUGAACAAAGUGGAGAGAAUUGUUUGGAAAGAGCCUGCCAUAGAAAGAACCAGGCAUUGCAGUAAUGAAACAUGGCCCCAACUUCUGUUCUUCCUCAAGUUUCUUGUAGAACCCUGGCAAUGACCUGAACACAGUGUUGAAAUCGUUCCCAGGAAGAUCAUUCAAGAAGGCUUGGAGUGAAGGAGAUGGACGGUUCAGUUUUUGGAAGGUGGCAUGGAUGUUGUGUAUGAUAUCUGAUACCGCCAAAAGGGUGUUGGGUCCGGAAGAGCAUCCCAA